CACGAGGUACAUUUUGAAGAGGAAAGGAAGAGACGAAGACUCGUACAGUUAUUACUCAUUUGGUCUUUCUUUCUUUUGUUUAUUAACAAUGGAACUUCAUUUCUUCUUCCUUUCUUCCUUUCUUCCUUUCUUCCUUCAUCAACCCAUUCUCUCUCUCUCUCUCAUCCCUCUCUUUCUCUCUCUAUUACUCAUCCCUUCCCUAUGCUCCCUUUCCUGUCACCUUCCUCGCCGUGAUUUCUCCUCGGAGUCCGGUAGAUCUUUCCCAUUUCGGACUGGUUCACGCUGCCGUGUAGAAGGAUAAGAAAUCACCAUGGCUGAUAACGAAACUGCAGUUCCAAAAUUUGGUGAAUGGGAUGAUGGGGAUGCAAAAGCACCGGAGAACUACACAGCUAUUUUCAACAAGGUGCGGGAAGAGCGGCAAGAUCAAACAGUGCGAGGGACACCAACACGGCUGAUUGACAGCACAAACAGCCAAAAUCAUGAACAGAAUCAAAAGAAAUGCUGUUGUUUUCCAUGGCCAAGAAAAUGAUAUUGUUCUACAUCUUCAUUAGCUCAGUUUUACAUGGACAUGUGAAUAUAUAUUUUAUUUGAAGGAAAGAAUCUGUUGGGCUGCAACAAAUAUCCUUCUGUGCCAUCUAAUGUAAGUGUUUGUUUGUGGGCAAAUAAAGUUCUGGGAAAAAGACAAAAUCUGGGGUGUUUUGGGUUAUAUUAUUUUUAAUUAUUACUUGAAAUUUUUACUUUUGCUUGUGAUGUAUUCUUCACUCUAAUAAUUGUAUUGUGAGGUUUGGCUUAUUUUGGUUACUAUUUAUC
Molecule: long non-coding RNA, 810 nt
Organism: Cucumis sativus (cucumber)
Lineage: Eukaryota; Viridiplantae; Streptophyta; Magnoliopsida; Cucurbitales; Cucurbitaceae
Exons: 3
Source: RefSeq, a predicted model, not a curated record